RNAcentral lists this ribosomal RNA (496 nucleotides) under uncultured bacterium. Its description in RNAcentral is "partial 16S ribosomal RNA". It matches the Rfam family "Bacterial small subunit ribosomal RNA", at positions 28 to 506 of the family's 1533-position model. The record is from RNAcentral.
GAUGAACGCUGGCGGCGUGCCUAAUACAUGCAAGUCGAGCGAACAGAUGAGGAGCUUGCUCCUCUGACGUUAGCGGCGGACGGGUGAGUAACACGUGGAUAACCUACCUAUAAGACUGGGAUAACUUCGGGAAACCGGAGCUAAUACCGGAUAAUAUAUUGAACCGCAUGGCUCAAUAGUGAAAGACGGUUUUGCUGUCACUUAUAGAUGGAUCCGCGCCGCAUUAGCUAGUUGGUAAGGUAACGGCUUACCAAGGCAACGAUGCGUAGCCGACCUGAGAGGGUGAUCGGCCACACUGGAACUGAGACACGGUCCAGACUCCUACGGGAGGCAGCAGGAGGGAAUCUUCCGCAAUGGGCGAAAGCCUGACGGAGCAACGCCGCGGGAGUGAUGAAGGUCUUCGGAUCGUAAAACUCUGUUAUUAGGGAAGAACAAAUGUGUAAGUAACUAUGCACGUCUUGACGGUACCUAAGCAGAAAGCCACGGCUAACUACGU